RNAcentral lists this ribosomal RNA (482 nucleotides) under uncultured bacterium. RNAcentral's name for it is "partial 16S ribosomal RNA". It matches the Rfam family "Bacterial small subunit ribosomal RNA", at positions 30 to 507 of the family's 1533-position model. The record is from RNAcentral.
AUUGAACGCUGGCGGCAUGCUUUACACAUGCAAGUCGAACGGUAACAGGCCGCAAGGUGCUGACGAGUGGCGAACGGGUGAGUAAUGCAUCGGAACGUGCCCAGUCGUGGGGGAUAACUACUCGAAAGAGUAGCUAAUACCGCAUACGAUCUAUGGAUGAAAGCGGGGGACCGUAAGGCCUCGCGCGAUUGGAGCGGCCGAUGUCAGAUUAGGUAGUUGGUGGGGUAAAGGCUCACCAAGCCAACGAUCUGUAGCUGGUCUGAGAGGACGACCAGCCACACUGGGACUGACACACGGCCCAGACUCCUACGGGAGGCAGCAGUGGGGAAUUUUGGACAAUGGGCGCAAGCCUGAUCCAGCAAUGCCGCGUGCAGGAAGAAGGCCUUCGGGUUGUAAACUGCUUUUGUACGGAACGAAACGGCUCUGGUUAAUACCCGGGGCUAAUGACGGUACCGUAAGAAUAAGCACCGGCUAACUACGUG